Long non-coding RNA from Numida meleagris (helmeted guineafowl), 1603 nucleotides. The record is from Ensembl. Lineage: Eukaryota; Metazoa; Chordata; Aves; Galliformes; Numididae.
GCAGCCGCCGGAGCGCGAUCGGGGCCGGGCGGGGCCCGAGGCCUCGUCCCUUCCUCCGCCUCCGGGGGCGGCCCCGGGCCGCAGGGCUCUGCUCGCGUUGGGGGUUGGGCGCCUGCGCUCCUCCGCGGCCCGGGCCGUGCGUUGGCGGGUGCGGGACGGCGCUGCGCUGGGUGUCCCCGGCUCCGAGCCCGCAGAGCUCGGGCGUGGGAGAAGGUGCGGCAGGAGGCGUUGGCCGGGGGCGGUGGCCCUGCCCUGCUCUGCCCUUUUUCACGUGAACGAGACCUCACGGGGCCCGUGUGCCGCAGCGGGUGUGGGGCAGAGCCCUGCUCCGUCCUGUGCCGCCCUGUCCCCAUCCCAUCCCCAUCCUACCCUGUCCCUGUCUCGCACCCAUUGCUGUCCUUGUCCUAUUCUAUCCCCAUCUCAUCCCAUCCCUAUCUCAUUCCCAUUGCUGUCCCCAUCUUUCCCUGUCCCUAUUCCAUCUCCAUCCCACUUCUGUCUCCGUUUAACCUCCAUCCCAUCACUGUCCCUCCCUCUUCCCAUCUCGUUCCCAUUGCUGUCCUUAGCCCAUUCUGUCCUCAUCUCUAUCUCAUCCCCCUCCUAUCCCUAUUCCACCCCACCCCUCUCUCACUCCCAUUCCUGUCCUCGUCCCCAUCCCACCCUGUCCCUGUCUCACACUCAUCCUCUCCCUGUCCCCACCUCACUUCCAUUCCUAUUCUUAUCCUGUACUAUCCCCAUCUCAUUCCCCUCCCAUCUCCAUUCCAUCCUGUCCCUCUCUCAUCCCCACUGCUGUCCCCAUCUCCCCCGUCCCUAUCCCAUCUCUAUCCUGCCCCUGUCUCUCCCUGUCCUCAUCUCACCCCCAUUCCCAUACCAUUCCCAUCCAUCUCCAUCCCAUCUCCAGCCCACCUUGUUUCCAUUUAGUCUCUAUCCCGUCCUUAUCCCAUUCUGCCUUCACAUCAGCCCCUUCUAUCCCCGUCCCUGUCCCCAUCUCACCCCUGCUCUGUCCCCAACCCCGUUUCCCCCUCCCGUCCCGGCCCCGCCCGCCCCCCGCCGUACGCACCUCCCUCCGGGCGCCGCCAUGACGCCGUACGGCCGAAGGGACCCGCGGGGGCCGCCAUGCUGCCGCGCGCAUGCGCCUUAGCCGCCGGAGCGUCUCCAUUGAGAAGAAUGAGGGGAAAGGGGCGGAGCCAAGGCGCGAGGAGCCACCGCGGGGGCGGGGCUACGCUCCGGGGCUCCGGCCAUGGCCACAGUGGAUGCCGAGGUGAGUGAGAGCGGCGGCGUCCAUCUACCCGGGCGGGGGGACGGAAGAUGGGGGAGCGCGCAGUGGUAUCGCCCAGGGCCAGGCGGCUUCUGUCGGGGGCCGGGAGGGGGCCGUGCCCCCGCCGCCCCAUGGUUCAGUCCAACUCCUCUGAGGGGAAGAAUGUGGGAGCUGCUGCCAUUGUGUGUAGGGGGGCCCGGGACUCUGUAUAAGUAACACCCCUCCGCGGCCAGUCGGUGGUAUGGGCCAUACAGGUUCCGGGGUUCCCCCCAAUGGGAGCGGGUGCGUGCGGCGGGGGCGGGGGGAGCGGCGCCGGCGCCAUCCACGUUCCGGGGCUCCUCGUGCGGC